RNAcentral lists this ribosomal RNA (522 nucleotides) under Protosticta sp. KMK-2015. Its description in RNAcentral is "SSU rRNA". It matches the Rfam family "Eukaryotic small subunit ribosomal RNA", at positions 631 to 1126 of the family's 1831-position model. Lineage: Eukaryota; Metazoa; Arthropoda; Insecta; Odonata; Platystictidae. The record is from RNAcentral.
UAGUCGGAGGUGUGUCUCGGACGGUCGGUUCGCCGCUUGUCGGUGCUCAACUGGCCGGUCCGGACGUCCUGCCGGUGGGGCUGUAAAAGGCCCCGUUAUCCUUCUUUGGUCCUCUUCACCGAGUGCCUUGGUGGGCCGGCACGUUUACUUUGAACAAAUUAGAGUGCUCAAAGCAGGCCGUUGGUCGCCUGAAUACAGUGUGCAUGGAAUAAUGGAAUAGGACCUCGGUUCCAUUUUGUUGGUUUUCAGAACUCGAGGUAAUGAUUAAUAGGGACGGACGGGGGCAUCCGUAUUGCGACGUUAGAGGUGAAAUUCUUGGAUCGUCGCAAGACGAACCGAUGCGAAAGCAUUUGCCAAGAACGUUUUCGUUGAUCAAGAANGAAAGUUAGAGGUUCGAAGGCGAUCANAUACCGCCCUAGUUCUAACCAUAAACGAUGCCAGCUAGCCAUCCGCCGAAGUUCCUUCUAUGACUCGGCGGGCAGCUUCCGGGAAACCAAAGCUCUUGGGUUCCGGGGGAAGUAU